AGGUUCGCUCCCCUGGCUCGGACUGAACGCUGGCGGGCAUGCUUAACACUGCAAGUCGAACGAGUUGGGGGGGGGGGUGGGGGUUUUCCAGUGCGAACGGGUGAGUACGCGUUAAGAACCUUGCCUUGGGAGGGAACAACAACUGGAAACGGUUGCUAAUACCCCGUAGGCUGAGAGCAAAAAGUUGAGAUUUAGUAGGGAUGGUAGAAGGGAGAAUGAGAGGGAAGAGAAAUCCGCCAAGGAGGUGCUCUGCGUCUUAUUAGCUAGUUUGGUGAGGCAAUAGCUUACCAAGGCGAUGAAUCAGUAGCUGGUCCGAGAGAUGAUCAGCCACACUGGGACUGAGACACGGCCCAGACUCCUACUGGAGGCAGUCAUUGUUGAAUUUUCCGCAAUGGUCGAAAGCCUGACUGAGCAAUGCCGCCGCGUGGAGGUGUAAGGCUACGGGUCGGUCAACUUCUUUUCUCGGAGAAGAAAACAAUGACCUGUAUCUGAGGAAUAAGCAUCGGCUAACUCUGUGCCAUCAGCCGCGUAAUGACAAAGAGGAUGCAAGCGUUAUCCGGAAUGAUUGGGCGUAAAGCGUCUGUGGUGGCUUUCAAGUCCCGCCGUCCAAAUCCCAGGGGCUCAACCUGGACAGGCGGUGAACUACCAAGUCUGGAGUACGGUAGGGGCAGAGGGAAUUUCCGGUGGAGCGGUGAAUGCAUUGGAUCGGAAAAACACAACGGCGAAAUCCACUUUCUGUGGCGAACUGACACAUAGAGAACGAAAGCUAGGGGAGCAAAUGGAUUAGAGACCCCAGUAGUCUAGCCGUAAACGAUGGAUACUAGGUGCUGUGCGACUCGACCCGUGCAGUGCUGUAGCUAACGCCGUUAAGUAUCCCCCUGGUAGUACGUUCGCAAGAAUGAAACUCAAAAGGAAUUGAACGGGGGCCCCCGCACAAGCGGUGGAGCUGUGUUUAAUUUAAUUCGAUGCAAAGCGAAGACCUUACCAGUGCUUGACAUGCCGCGGAAUCCUCUUGCAAGAGAGGGGGUGCCCUCUUAACGCGGACACCGGUGGUGCAUGGGUGUCGUCACUCGUGCCGUAAAGGUGUUGGGUUAAGUCUCGCAAGAGCGCAACCCUCGUGUUUAGUUUGCCACUAUUAGUUUGGAACCCUGACCGACCGGGGGGCCGGUGUUAAGUCCGGAGGAAGGAAGGAGAGCCAAGUCAUCAUGCCCUUAUGCCUGGGCGACACACGUGCUACAUGGGCGGACAAGGGUCGCGAUCUCGCGAGGGUGAGCUACCCUCCCAAAAACCCGUCCUCAGUUCGGAUUGCCGGCGCAACUCGCCUGCAUGAAGCAUGAUCGCUAGUAAGCGCCGGUCAAGCCAUACGCGGUUGAAUCCGUUCCGGUCCUGUACCACCGCCUGGGGAGCCGUCAACUUAGAGCUGGCAUGUUUGAAGUCAUUACCUUAAACCGUAGAGGAGGGGUAUGCCUAGGCCAGCCUUGCCCGACUGGAGUGAAGGGUAACAAGGUAGCCGUACUGUAAGGUGUCGGCUG
RNAcentral lists this ribosomal RNA (1532 nucleotides) under Saccharum spontaneum (wild sugarcane). Its description in RNAcentral is "bacterial SSU rRNA". It matches the Rfam family "Bacterial small subunit ribosomal RNA". The record is from RNAcentral. Lineage: Eukaryota; Viridiplantae; Streptophyta; Magnoliopsida; Poales; Poaceae.